This 116-nucleotide small nuclear RNA is filed under the name Carlito syrichta (Philippine tarsier). Its description in RNAcentral is "U5 spliceosomal RNA (ENSTSYG00000027758.1)". It matches the Rfam family "U5 spliceosomal RNA". Rfam says of the family: U5 RNA is a component of both types of known spliceosome. The record is from Rfam by way of RNAcentral. Lineage: Eukaryota; Metazoa; Chordata; Mammalia; Primates; Tarsiidae.
AUACUCUGGUUUCUCUUCACAUCAUAUAAAUCUUUCACCUUUUACUAAAGGUUUCCAUAGAGAGGAACAAUUCGAAGUCUUAACCCAAUUUUUUGAGGUCUUGCAUCUGCAGGACU